AGAGUUUGAUCCUGGCUCAGGAUGAACGCUGGCGGCGUGCUUAACACAUGCAAGUCGAACGGGGCGGCUGGGAGGAAUCCCUUCGGGGAGGAGACCCCGGGGACUGAUGGGGGAACGGUGAAUCACCCGUGGGCCACCUGGCCCCUACCGGGGGAACACCGCCCGAAACCGGUUGUAACUCCCCAUAAUUCCUGGGGGCCCCCUGGGUCCUGCCGGAAAACUUCCGGGGUAUGGGAUGGGCCCCCCUUUGAAUAAGCUUGUGGGGGGGCAGACGCCCCCCCAACGGAGCAAUAAUAGCCGGGCUGAAAAGGGGGGCCGGCCCCUUGGGAGUGAGACACGCCCCAAAUUCUUCCGGAAGGAACAAUGGGGAAUAUUGCACACUGGGGGGAAACCUUGAGCCACCACCCCCCCUGGGAGAGGAAAUAUUUUGGUAUAUAAAACCUUAUCUCCACAGAAGAAGAAAUGACGGUACCUGAAUAAGAAGCCCCGGCUAAAUACGUGCCAGCAGCCGCGGUAAUACGUAGGGGGCAAGCGUUAUCCGGAUUCACUGGGCGUAAAGGGAGCGCAGGCGGCGCGCCAAGUCUGAUGUGAAACCCCGGGGCUCAACCCCGGGCAUGCAUUGGAAACUGCCGGGCUGGAGUGUCGGAGAGGCAAGCGGAAUUCCUAGUGUAGCGGUGAAAUGCGUAGAUAUUAGGAGGAACACCAGUGGCGAAGGCGGCUUACUGGACGGCAACUGACGCUGAGGCUCGAAAGCGUGGGGAGCAAACAGGAUUAGAUACCCUGGUAGUCCACGCCGUAAACGAU
Molecule: ribosomal RNA, 804 nt
Filed under: uncultured bacterium
Lineage: Bacteria
Description: partial 16S ribosomal RNA
Rfam family: Bacterial small subunit ribosomal RNA
Source: RNAcentral